Long non-coding RNA from Oreochromis niloticus (Nile tilapia), 1939 nucleotides. RefSeq lists it as uncharacterized. The transcript is spliced from 2 exons. The record is from RefSeq and is a predicted model, not a curated record. NCBI's taxonomy places the organism in Eukaryota, Metazoa, Chordata, Actinopteri, Cichliformes, Cichlidae.
CAGGAGGCCGACAAACCUCACAGAAGAAAGGGAGAGAAAAAAUACAGCUGUGAUGAGUGUGGGAAGGAUUUUACCUGUCCUGGAAAAUUAAAAAGACACCAACUCAUCCACAGUGGAGUUAAACCGUACUGUUGUGAGUUCUGCGGAAAGCCUUUUACCCAGGCUGCAGACUUAAAAUCACAUCAACUCAUCCACAUUGGAGUUAAAGCGUACAAAUGUGACUUGUGUGGAAAGUCUUUUACCCAUCCUGGAAGCCUAAAAAGACAUCAACUCAUCCACAGUGGAGUUAAAGCAUACAGAUGUGACUUGUGUGGAAAGUCUUUUACCCAUCUUGAAAGCUUAAAAAUACACCAAGUCACCCACAGUGGAGUUAAAGCAUACAACUGUGACUUGUGUGGAAAGUCUUUUAGCCAGGCUGGAAGCUUAAAAAAACACCAACUCAUUCACAGUGGAGUUAAGGCAUUCAGCUGUAAGUUAUGUGGGAAAUCAUUUACCCAGUCCCAAAACUUAAAAAAACAUCAAGUUACCCACUCUGGAAUUAAGGCGUACAGCUGUGACAUUUGUGGAAAAACUUUCAGCCAUGUAGGGUACAGAAAUAUUCACCUACGGAUUCACACUGGACAUGAUGUUUACUGCUGUGAUCAGUGUGGCAAACUGUUUACAACAGAUGCACAGUUACAAAGCCACAUGUUUACCCACACUGAGGAGAGACCUUAUAAAUGUGACCUGUGUGAUAAGGCUUUUAAAGAGCCAAGUUCCCUGAAAAAACACCAACAGAUCCACACCAGAAAAAAACUCUACAAGUGCAGUUACUGUGAGAAGCAGAGCGGCACAGAUGGAUCCAGUUCUCAACCCUGUCGUCACUGUGGUGGUGGGAAAGACUUUCGCUGUGAACUUUGUGGAAAAACAUUCAGCCAUCCCCGAAGUCUAGAACUACAUCAACGUAGACACACUGGAGACAAAAUGAGCUACUGCAAAGAAUGUGGAAGAGGCUUCCCCACGCCAAGUAUAUUAAAAAUACAUGAACUUAUUCACAGCGGGGUUAAAAAGCACAACUGUGAUCAGUGUGGGUCAUCCUUCACCACUGCAGGUCACCUUAAAAGUCAUAAACAAGUCCACACAGGAGAGAAACCAUACAAGUGCAGACAUUGUGACAGAAGCUUCUCGCAUUCAACCAGUCGUAACGAUCAUGAGAGUACACAUAUGGAAGAGAACUUCAGCUGUGACCAGUGUAACAAGAGCUUCAAGAAUCUCAGUUCAUACUCCAAACACAAACGAUACCACGCUGUAAAUAAACUGUUUCACUGUUACCAGUGUGCAAAAACAUUCACUUCAUUAUCUGCUCUGUGCAAUCAUCAGCGUGAUCAUGCAGACCUGAAGUCUCUGGAUCACAAUGAAUCUGAAGAGACAGAAAAUUCCUGUUUGCAGGGUCCGACUUAAAAACCUUGAGAUCAGGCUUCUCAGCGUUCAGCUGAUUUCACACUUGGAUCUGAUGAGGUACCUCUUAUUUCCGGACCUGCAGUGAGUAAUCCUGAAUGUUACACUCAAGAAGCUGAAAUUAUAAAUAUGUACGUCAAGUUUUUAUUUUUCUUUGAUUACCUUUGAUGCUCUGUUUCAACAUGAAUGUUUUUUAUUUAUUCAUUUCAUGCGUUACCUCAGUCGAAUUCUAAUCCAUGUUCAUGUUUAAUCCUCUUAUCUGUUUCGUAAUAUGUGCUCUUAAAUUGCUUUUCUCCCAAAAGUCCAAAUAAUUUUACACCAGUUGCUCGUGAAGCUUCUAAUAUGAACUAAAUCGGUCAACAGGCUUUGAAACAACAACUGAUGUGACUUUAUACGCAAAAUAAAAAUUAAAAAAAACUCAAGCUAAAUUCGUGUUGGGCUGUACUUCCAUGUAAAACCAGUUUGUGCCAACAGUUGGAGAAAUGACUCACUACAACCAUUA